Molecule: ribosomal RNA, 680 nt
Filed under: uncultured anaerobic ammonium-oxidizing bacterium
Lineage: Bacteria
Description: bacterial SSU rRNA
Rfam family: Bacterial small subunit ribosomal RNA
Source: RNAcentral
AAGUCAGAUGUGAAAGCCUUCUGUUCAACGGAAGAAUUGCAUCUGAAACUGCGGGUCUUGAGUGUAGGAGGGGAGAAUGGAACUUCUGGUGGAGCGGUGAAAUGCGUAGAUAUCAGAAGGAACGCCGGCGGCGAAAGCGAUUCUCUGGCCUAUUACUGACACUCAGUGUGCGAAAGCUAGGGGAGCAAACGGGAUUAGAUACCCCGGUAGUCCUAGCCGUAAACGAUGGGCACUAAGUAGAGGGAAUUACCGAUAUUCUCUCUGCCGUAGCUAACGCAUUAAGUGCCCCGCCUGGGGAGUACGGCCGCAAGGCUAAAACUCAAAAGAAUUGACGGGGGCUCGCACAAGCGGUGGAGCAUGUGGCUUAAUUCGAUGCAACGCGAAAAACCUUACCGGGGCUUGACAUGGUAGAAGUAGGAACCCGAAAGGGUAACGAACGGUAUCCAGUCCGUAACUAUUACAGGUGUUGCAUGGCUGUCGUCAGCUCGUGUCGUGAGACGUUGGGUUAAGUCCCCUAACGAGCGAAACCCUUGUUUUUAGUUGCCAGCGGGUUAUGCCGGGCACUCUAGAAAGACUGCCGUCGUCAAGACGGAGGAAGGUGGGGACGACGUCAAGUCAUCAUGGCCCUUAUGCCCCGGGCUGCACACGUGCUACAAUGGCCGGUACAAACGGAAGCGAAG